RNAcentral lists this transfer RNA (84 nucleotides) under Rhynchosia clivorum. RNAcentral's name for it is "tRNA-Tyr". The record is from RNAcentral. Lineage: Eukaryota; Viridiplantae; Streptophyta; Magnoliopsida; Fabales; Fabaceae.
AUACCUAUCGAAUCUUAAUAAUGAACGAAAGAAAGUGAAAGAAAUAAAGUUUUAACCUCCCGUCCUUUCCAACAAAGCAAUCAU